AUUGAACGCUGGCGGCAUGCCUUACACAUGCAAGUCGAACGGUAACAGGUUAAGCUGACGAGUGGCGAACGGGUGAGUAAUGUAUCGGAACGUGCCCAGUUGUGGGGGAUAACUGCUCGAAAGAGCAGCUAAUACCGCAUACGACCUGAGGGUAAAAGCGGGGGAUCGCAAGACCUCGCGCAAUUGGAGCGGCCGAUAUCAGAUUAGGUAGUUGGUGGGGUAAAGGCUCACCAAGCCGACGAUCUGUAGCUGGUCUGAGAGGACGACCAGCCACACUGGGACUGAGACACGGCGCAGUCGCCAACGGGAGGCAGCAGUGGGGAAUUUUGGACAAUGGGCGCAAGCCUGCUCCAGCCAUGCCGCGUGCGGGAAGAAGGCCUUCGGGUUGUAAACCGCUUGUGUGAGGGAAGAAACGCUCUGGGUUAAUACCCUGGGGUAAUGACGGUACCUGAAGAAUAAGCACCGGCUAACUACGUGCCAGCCGCCGCUGUAA
RNAcentral lists this ribosomal RNA (493 nucleotides) under uncultured bacterium. Its description in RNAcentral is "partial 16S ribosomal RNA". It matches the Rfam family "Bacterial small subunit ribosomal RNA", at positions 29 to 523 of the family's 1533-position model. The record is from RNAcentral.